AAAAUUUUUCUUAUUAGCAGGAGCAUUUGGUGCUGCCUCCUAACUCUGGACACACAUUCCUAGGAGAGUAAUACUACCAACCUCUACAUCAGCCUCAGCAUUACCGGAUAUCUACCCAGACUGGAAGGAGCUGCACUCAGUAUGAGAUGUUGAUUCUACUGCCUGAUGUGGAUUUUUGAAGAGCCUUAAACAACUUAUUCGCCUAAGAGCGUUCCCACAAUAUCCUUAAUUUUAGAAGUGUUGUCACUCAUCUUUACUUGCUACUGCUGUGCAGUUUUCACUGUAUGAAAAGCCCUCCCACUGUACUGCCCAGUCUCUCUACAGUGAUUAUGAUGAUCCUGUCCAUAACAAGGCUGAUAAUGGAGGAACAUGUGACAUACAUAUAACUCUUCAUACUCCGUAGGCAUAUACAGGUGCAGUGGAGUCACAUACUACUCCAUACUUGGCCAAAUUAUGGAUAUGAUUGCCAUAGUCACUAAAGAUAAGGACGAGGUAGAAUGGGGCAGGACUUGUUGAAUAGUAAAAACACAGCACAGCAGGAGCAAGUGACUGAGUGAUGAUACUUUACAAUUAUAGCACUUAUACAUACAUCCAAUCGGCAAAGAGACCUGCAUCUGGCCAUAAUCGCAUGAUUCUGACUGACUGGGGAGAGCUCUGCAUUUCUGAAGUUGCUGUUUUAUGUAGUCGAAAACCAUCAAGUAUGAAGAACUCUUGUAACCCGGAGCCCUGGCUGAGCUGGAUUAUGAUUUUACAAACAUACAAAAAGAAAACGGUCAAUUACAUUUUUUAAUGACAUUGAAUCUUUCUCCUGAUGAAAUGUUUUAGAAUCAGUUUGUCAAAUAUUUUUUUUACUUUGUCAAUA
Molecule: long non-coding RNA, 862 nt
Organism: Hyla sarda
Lineage: Eukaryota; Metazoa; Chordata; Amphibia; Anura; Hylidae
Exons: 3
Source: RefSeq, a predicted model, not a curated record